AGAGUACGUUUUCUCCUGGCCGCAAUAUUAAAGGGACACUUUAAGCACUAAAACAACUUCGUCUUAAUGAAGUGGUUUUGGUACAGAGAUGUUGUCCCUUUUCUCUGGUAGCCACUAGACACCUUCUAAAACCGGUCUUCAGGUUCAUGCACAGAAUGAUGAUGCCAAACGCUUUUAAUGCUUCUUCUAUACGAGAUGCAUUCAAUUUAGUGAAUGGGAAGCAUUGGACUGGAGGAGUUUGGCGAUUGCCUUAAAUGCGC
Pelobates cultripes (western spadefoot toad) is the source of this 260-nucleotide non-coding RNA. NCBI's taxonomy places the organism in Eukaryota, Metazoa, Chordata, Amphibia, Anura, Pelobatidae. The record is from the annotation of a GenBank genome assembly.